This 883-nucleotide ribosomal RNA is filed under the name uncultured bacterium. Its description in RNAcentral is "bacterial SSU rRNA". It matches the Rfam family "Bacterial small subunit ribosomal RNA", at positions 28 to 896 of the family's 1533-position model. The record is from RNAcentral.
AACGAACGCUGGCGGCAGGCUUCAUACAUGCAAGUCGCGCGAUUAAACCCAGCAAUGGGAUAUAAAGCGGCGAACGGGUGAGUAACAGGUGGAUAAUCUGCCUUUUGGUGGGGGAUAACGGCUGGAAACGGCCGCUAAUACCGCAUGUGGUUGCGAGGGCUAUGGCCUUUGCAAAGAAAGGCGCUGCAAGGCGCCGCCAAGAGAUGAGUCCGCCCCCCAUUAGCUAGUUGGCGGGAUAAUAGCCCACCAAGGCUUUGAUGGGUAGCCGAGCUGAGAGGUUGAUCGGCCACACUGGAACUGAGACACGGUCCAGACACCUACGGGUGGCAGCAGUAGGGAAUAUUGGACAAUGGGCGAAAGCCUGAUCCAGCCAUGCCGCGUGAGUGAUGAAGGCCUUCGGGUCGUAAAACUCUUUUCUGAGGGAAGAACAUCCGGUGCAGGAAAUGGCACUGGCUUGACGGUACCUCAGGAAUAAGCAACGGCUAACUCCGUGCCAGCAGCCGCGGUAAUACGGAGGUUGCGAGCGUUGUUCGGAAUAACUGGGCGUAAAGGGAGCGCAGGCGGUUCGGCAAGUCUAAAGUGGAAGCCCGGGGCUUAACCUCGGAAGUGCUUUGGAUACUACCGAGCUCGAGUUCGUGAGAGGAAAGCGGAAUUCCAGGUGUAGCGGUGAAAUGCGUAGAUAUCUGGAGGAACACCGGUGGCGAAAGCGGCUUUCUGGCACGAUACUGACGCUGAGGCUCGAAAGCAUGGGUAGCAAACGGGAUUAGAUACCCCGGUAGUCCAUGCCGUAAACGUUGUGCACUAGGUGUGGGAGGUAUCGACCCCUUCCGUGCCGCAGCUAACGCAUUAAGUGCACCGCCUGGGGAGUACGGUCGCAAGACUG